This 288-nucleotide long non-coding RNA is filed under the name Mytilus galloprovincialis (Mediterranean mussel). The record is from RNAcentral. Lineage: Eukaryota; Metazoa; Mollusca; Bivalvia; Mytilida; Mytilidae.
UUUCCGCAUCCGUAAAUGUAAUCAUGUCCAUUUCCUGCACCGUUUUUUUUUGUAAGUAUUAUAAAAAGAUCUCAACAUUUGUUUUUAAAAUCACAGUAUAACAUUUAUAUAACGAUUUUAAACCUAUAAGCACCCCACAACACUGUAAAUAUCUGUGAGAAUAUUUGUUUCAGCAUGAGUGGAGUGGGAGUGCUCCGAUAAAAAUAUAUAACAGCGGGAAUACCUGUACAGAACAAAACAUUAGUUUCUUUCCCCCUGACUUAUAUUCCCUAUCAAAAAAUGUUCGUU